ACCUACGGGGGGCAGCAGUAGGGAAUAUUGCUCAAUGGGGGAAACCCUGAAGCAGCGACGCCGCGUGGAGGAAGACGGUCUUCUGGAUUGUAAACCACUGUCCCCAGGGACGAAAAUGACGGUACCUGGGGAGGAAGCUCCGGCUAACUACGCGCCAGCAGCCGCGGUAAUACGUAGGGAGCAAGCGUUGUCCGGAAUUACUGGGUGUAAAGGGAGCGUAGGCGGGGAUGCAAGUUGGGUGUCAAAACUACCGGCUCAACCGAUAGUCGCACUCAAAACUGCAGCUCUUGAGUGAAGUAGAGGCG
Molecule: ribosomal RNA, 305 nt
Filed under: uncultured bacterium
Lineage: Bacteria
Description: bacterial SSU rRNA
Rfam family: Bacterial small subunit ribosomal RNA
Source: RNAcentral